UACGUAGGUGACAAGCGUUGUCCGGAUUUACUGGGCGUAAAGAGCGCGCAGGCGGUCGUCCAAGUCGCGUGUGAAAGCCCCCGGCUCAACUGGGGAGGGUCACGCGAUACUGGUCGACUCGAAGGCAGGAGAGGGUAGUGGAAUUCCCGGUGUAGUGGUGAAAUGCGUAGAUAUCGGGAGGAACACCAGUGGCGAAGGCGACUACCUGGCCUGUUCUUGACGCUGAGGCGCGAAAGCUAGGGUAGCAAACGGG
RNAcentral lists this ribosomal RNA (253 nucleotides) under uncultured bacterium. RNAcentral's name for it is "partial 16S ribosomal RNA". It matches the Rfam family "Bacterial small subunit ribosomal RNA", at positions 524 to 776 of the family's 1533-position model. The record is from RNAcentral.